Molecule: long non-coding RNA, 282 nt
Organism: Camelus dromedarius (Arabian camel)
Lineage: Eukaryota; Metazoa; Chordata; Mammalia; Artiodactyla; Camelidae
Exons: 3
Source: RefSeq, a predicted model, not a curated record
AGCCCUGAGGAGAAGAAAAUGGAGAAAUGGGAAAUACAGACAUUCACCACCAGGGGACACUGCCAUCUAGUGCCGGGGAUCCUUCCAAACCCCAAGGCUUCAGCUUAGUUAAUGAGUGUUAUCUGCUAUAACUUGUCCAUGGUACCUUUGCUUGUGUGUGCACACUCCUCCAGCUCUAAGAUGUGAGAUUCGCUGGGCUGCUUCUAUCCCAGAUUCCUUUUAAGUCACCAAGAAAAAAAAAAUCAUGCCUGCUAACUAAUAUACCUGAGAGGAAAAUGACAC